This 459-nucleotide ribosomal RNA is filed under the name uncultured Thiobacillus sp. Its description in RNAcentral is "bacterial SSU rRNA". It matches the Rfam family "Bacterial small subunit ribosomal RNA", at positions 919 to 1382 of the family's 1533-position model. Lineage: Bacteria; Pseudomonadati; Pseudomonadota; Betaproteobacteria; Nitrosomonadales; Thiobacillaceae. The record is from RNAcentral.
ACCCGCACAAGCGGUGGAUGAUGUGGAUUAAUUCGAUGCAACGCGAAGAACCUUACCUACCCUUGACAUGUCCGGAACUUGCCAGAGAUGGCUUGGUGCCCGAAAGGGAGUCGGAACACAGGUGCUGCAUGGCUGUCGUCAGCUCGUGUCGUGAGAUGUUGGGUUAAGUCCCGCAACGAGCGCAACCCUUAUCAUUAGUUGCUACGCAAGGGCACUCUAAUGAGACUGCCGGUGACAAACCGGAGGAAGGUGGGGAUGACGUCAAGUCCUCAUGGCCCUUAUGGGUAGGGCUUCACACGUCAUACAAUGGUCGGUAUAGAGGGUUGCCAAGCCGCGAGGCGGAGCCAAUCCCACAAAGCCGAUCGUAGUCCGGAUUGUUCUCUGCAACUCGAGAGCAUGAAGUCGGAAUCGCUAGUAAUCGCAGGUCAGCAUACUGCGGUGAAUACGUUCCCGGGUCUU